CUCCCUCGUCUCCAAUCCGCGCCUGUCUUCACCCUUUAAUCUAAAAUUGGGGUAAAGAAGGAGGCGUAGCGUAGCUCGAUAUAUUUCCAUCCGCUCUCCCUUCGCGCCUCCCUCCCAAAACCUUAAACCGGCGGCAAUUGGCGCGCACUCGACUCUUGGCUCUGGGUCGCCUUCGCCUCCUCUGCGACGACGACGACGCUCGGGCCGGGAGAAUUGUGUGUGUCGCCUUCGCCUCCUCCUCCUCGACAAAACCGCCGCCAAGGGCCGCCGCUCCUACUCGCCGCCUCCUCCCCCUCCCUCCCCCGGCCGGCGCCCUGGCCACGGCCGCAGGCGCUCCUUCGACCACGUCCCCGAGUUCCUCUAGCACUCGGCGAGGCUGAGUCUCUAGAUGCGCCGCGACGCGCUGACGCCGUACCUGGGACUGCUCCGCCAGUCGGCGGAGGAGAGGGUUCUAUGAAAAGUUCUCCAUUUCUUGUUCGCGCUAUUCUUUUUCCUCCACUUAUUUCCAUGUGGACUCGGUUCUAGGGCUCCUUGUUUAUUGAGUUUGUCAGCACGACGAUCUCAACCGUGUCUAGCAUGAUUGGCUUCGUCAAGUCGAGCCAGACAUAGGCCGCCUCAACUAUUGCACCGAAGUUCCAGUAGUUAUAACCCUGGACCACAAGGUAGUUGGUUAAGGCGAGUCUUCGGUUGUCAAGGCUCAAGGAAACGUUUGUUGCUACACCAAGGACUACCUAAUACGCCUCGUAGUGUUAGUAGCAGUCCUAAAGUCGUCUUAACCACACCCCACGGACCAGUCUACAGUUACCGACUAUAUCAAUUUUACCCGUCUGGAGUUCCUUCCAGAAGAUCGUUCAGACGCCGAUGCCGUCUGUUUCGUAAACGACCGGUUUUGGGUAGAAACAGUUUACUUUUCUUGGUAUUGUGUUUUGUUAGGCGUUCGUGUCAGCGGGGCUGUUGUAAACUGGUUCCUAAAGGUCGAGAAGGUCUAGGGUAAGGGGUUCAAUAUUUAAGAUUAGUGCGAAGCCGUCUGUCGGUGGUUUGUGUACUUUUACAAACCAAAUGUGUCCUGCCUGGUGGUAGUGUUUUAGUUAAGUGUCGGGGACCCGGUAGACCGCCGGGUAAUAGUAAACACCGUAGUAACCUCAGUAGUCACGACCAACGACUACGGCAAUUGAACGUACUCUUCAGAGUGUGUCUUCUAUUGCGGAGUUAACAUUUCGUCUGUAGUUAUGGAAGACUCUCUGUGAGCCUUCAAGAAGUGCUGUUUCAAGUUAAGCCACUACUUAAUAACGUCUUGAGUUCAUGUAUGGUUAGAGUUUACGUAAGUAAACGGCUACUUCAACUCCAAAGGUUGCAACUACACCUGAGUCGACGUUGCUUGAAAGUCGUAGAUUCGAACGUUUUCCUUCUAGUUCGUCGUCGAUUAAGACGACUACUAUUAGGUCGCCAAUAUUAGGGGCUAGUAGAUGUUGAACUUUUAUGUCUGACGCGCGUAGACUCGAAACCAUCAAAACUUAGACCACGGAAGAGACCCAACGAAGGUAGGUUCCAGGGAUUUAUAUCAUACCUUCUCCACGGGUUGAGUCUACUUUGAGGUCGUCAACUAGUUUAUCUAUAGUCCUUAGUUCUAAUGAUACUGUUACCACGAGAUGUCAGUAGUCGUUUACUCCUACAACUUUGGUCUUAUCCAUGGUUGUAACUCUUAUAACUACGGGGAAGUCAAAGCGUCGGACUAUAUGACUACGUUCCACGAGAUCUACACAGACCAGAAGUCAUAUUGGGUGGUAGUCAAAGUCUAGUACACAUAGGCUUGUGUUGUGUCGGUUCAUAUUACCUCUCGGUUGUUCCUUUGCGAGUUCGUGUUGUAGAAAGAGUAAAAAGUUCGAACGACCGUGUCGUUCGAUUGUGAGACGUUUCGUUGAAGAACCCCAGUUUAGAAUGGGUCGUGGCCCUAAAACUGAAGAGUGGCAAAAAUAGUCGUGUCAGUCGUUACUUUAUAUUGGGUCGACACGGUUGUUGGUCAAUGGGUUAGAGGUACGUUCUCUUAAAUUUGGUUCCCCCAAAGAGGUUGUGAGUUAGAUGUGUUUUAGGAGGGUCAUGCUCGUAAGGCAGUCCCGAUGGAGUUGGAGUCGUUAAUAGAAAUGUAGGCAUGAGAGUCGGUUGAGAUGGGGAUCCCAGAAAACGGUCAAAUCAGCCGAUAGGUAUGAACGGAGUUUUGAUGAUACAUGGUGGUCGUCGGAAGGUCGUUCGCAUAAGUUCAUUACCUGGAAAGGUAGUUAGACCACCACGACGACACGGACCUAGACGAUACUUUAUAAGCUACGGUGUCAUGUUCUCACCGGAAGGACAGUGUUCGGGUGGUGUCGUAAGUAGUCGUCAGAGACCAAUACCUCCGAAACCUUCGAGUUCAUUAUAUGGCUUAAAACCGGUUUUGGUCUCACGGAGGGGACGGUGCUGAUACCCCUAACUACUUCGAAAUUCAAGUGUCAAGUUUCUCCGGUUAGUGAUAUACCGGGAUGUCGUCUCGCUGUUGAGUCGCUACACCGAAGUACCUCGACGACCAAGUUCUCGACAAAGUCGACAAGGUGGACCAUUGAAAAUGCCGAAGGUCCCGGUCUCGCGCGUCCCACCGAAGGCGCUCCACGUUGUCGGGAGAGUCAUACCACCGGAACCCGUGGGCUCGAAGAUGGUCAGCGUCUUACCAUACGUCGUCCUCGUGGGCGUCUUGGGACGCCUCCCUUCGGACUUGUCGAGGGUCUGACGGGGCAGAGUCGGUAGUGUGGUCUACACCGUCGUGUCGAUGAUUCUACAUCCAGACGAAGACACCUUCUUCGUGGAACCGUACGCGGCACUUCGUUUGUCUGGUCGACUCGACGGAAGAACUCGCGGUUCUUCCCCUCCAGCUACGCGAAGAUAUCAAAGCUUCAUACAACCAAAAGGAAAAAAGAGAGUGAGAAGAAGGAGUGAACAACACACAGAGCCCUCAGCCCUGAUCAAAGUCUAGCAGCACUCAAGAUGAGCUAUCACUCGACGAAAGAACAUUGUAGAACUCGAGCAGAGGACCCGCGACCUCCGCAGCCCUACUAAUAACCACUUGAAAAACGUAAAGUCCCUACAGACCUUCCGUCGAAGCCGAAACUUCUAGUAAAAAAAAGAAACUGAUUUAGGAGAUUGCAGUACCGGACUGCCUGCACUUUACGGGAGAAACAGUCUCAAACUUCUUCAACUGGUGUAAAAUAGAUCUGAUCUCUACGAGAAACGGUCUAAAUACACCUCAACACAGUCCAGCGAAGGGCUACGUCAACCUUGGGAAGGACGCAACGAUAUAAAAGAAAGUAGAAGUCACGGUACUUG
This 3354-nucleotide ribosomal RNA is filed under the name Triticum aestivum (bread wheat). RNAcentral describes it as "partial small subunit ribosomal RNA". The record is from RNAcentral. Lineage: Eukaryota; Viridiplantae; Streptophyta; Magnoliopsida; Poales; Poaceae.